Non-coding RNA from Paenibacillus sp. Soil750, 145 nucleotides. NCBI's taxonomy places the organism in Bacteria, Bacillati, Bacillota, Bacilli, Caryophanales, Paenibacillaceae. The record is from Rfam.
CAAGUAAAGCAGAAGCGCCCGCUUCUCACCUGACUAACGCAACGUUGGCUGGUUUGAAUGAAUCAUCAUGUACAUUCAAUAGGUUUGUCUUAAACCUGUUAUUGAUGAAGAUGUGGGCCCACUGUGCCCGCAUCUUUUUUAUAUU